RNAcentral lists this ribosomal RNA (281 nucleotides) under uncultured soil bacterium. RNAcentral describes it as "partial 16S ribosomal RNA". It matches the Rfam family "Bacterial small subunit ribosomal RNA", at positions 26 to 309 of the family's 1533-position model. The record is from RNAcentral.
AGAUUGAACGCUGGCGGCAUGCCUUACACAUGCAAGUCGAACGGCAGCACGGGGGCAAUCCUGGUGGCGAGUGGCGAACGGGUGAGUAAUACAUCGGAACGUGCCCAAUCGUGGGGGAUAACGCAGCGAAAGCUGUGCUAAUACCGCAUAAGAUCUACGGAUGAAAGCAGGGGAUCGCAAGACCUUGCGCGAAUGGAGCGGCCGAUGGCAGAUUAGGUAGUUGGUGAGGUAAAGGCUCACCAAGCCUUCGAUCUGUAGCUGGUCUGAGAGGAUGAUCAGCC